AAUACCGCAUAUGCCAUAACCAUCACAUGAUAGUAGUGGGAAAGGAGUAAUCCGCUAACAGAUGGGCUCGCGUCUGAUUAGAUAGUUGGUGGGGUAACGGCCUACCAAGUCUACGAUCAGUAGCCGGACUGAGAGGUUGAACGGCCACAUUGGGACUGAGAUACGGCCCAGACUCCUACGGGAGGCAGCAGUCGGGAAUAUUGCGCAAUGGAGGAAACUCUGACGCAGUGACGCCGCGUAUGGGAAGAAGGUCUUCGGAUUGUAAACUAUUGUCGUUAGGGAAGAAAAAGGACAGUACCUAAGGAGGAAGCUCCGGCUAACUACGUGCCAGCAGCCGCGGUAAUACGUAGGGAGCAAGCGUUAUCCGGAUUUAUUGGGUGUAAAGGGUGCGUAGACGGGAUAAUAAGUUAGUUGUGAAAUCCCUCGGCUCAACUGAGGAACUGCAACUAAAACUGUUAUUCUUGAGUGUUGGAGAGGAAAGCGGAAUUCCUAGUGUAGCGGUGAAAUGCGUAGAUAUUAGGAGGAACACCAGUGGCGAAGGCGGCUUUCUGGACAAUAACUGACGUUGAGGCACGAAAGUGUGGGGAGCAAACAGGAUUAGAUACCCUGGUAGUCCACACCGUAAACGAUGAAUACUAGGUGUAGGUUAUGUCAUGUAAUCUGUGCCGUCGC
RNAcentral lists this ribosomal RNA (672 nucleotides) under uncultured bacterium. RNAcentral's name for it is "bacterial SSU rRNA". It matches the Rfam family "Bacterial small subunit ribosomal RNA", at positions 165 to 852 of the family's 1533-position model. The record is from RNAcentral.